RNA transcript from Drosophila hydei, 3912 nucleotides. It is a transcript of the gene named arylsulfatase B, with no coding region annotated. The transcript has 6 exons. Lineage: Eukaryota; Metazoa; Arthropoda; Insecta; Diptera; Drosophilidae. The record is from RefSeq and is a predicted model, not a curated record.
UUUUUAGAUUUCAGUAUCGAUUUUGUAAUCUAGCUUUCAGUACUGAUUGAAAUACAAACUUUUCUCCGGCUCCACCGCCACUUUUUAUUUAAUAUAUUAAUAUUUCACUGAGCCACAAGGCCAGUGAUUGGAAUUAAUUCUCAACAUAACCUACUCGCCCAAUCCAAAAGCAAGAACGCAACAUCGUUGGGUCGACAUCAUUGGACUUGCAGCAGGACAGAAAGUUGGAUAGAAAGUCGGACAGAAAACGGACAGAAAGGCGGAGGACAAGACGCAGCAAUAUUGAAAACCAUAGUUUUGAAUACAACAAACACAACAUUAAGAUAUAUAAAACAUAUCUUAUGAGUGAACGUGAAUGGCAUAAGCAGAUGAACAGAAGAGAAAACGGACGUAAAUACGGAGAAACCAGCAAGCCAACAGGAGGAAGGACAAAUCGAUAAGGACAAAUGUAUGAAAGAGAGAGAGAGAGUUGUGGAGACGGACGGAAAGAGGAGAAGAUAGACGGACGGAAAGCCAGAUAGACGAACAGAUGCAUAAGCGAGUAGAACUACGGACAUAUGGACGCAUAAAAAAAAGCUGAUCAAACAGAUUGACAGACAGACGGAACGAACAAAUAGAGCUACAGACAGAGGUGUAAAGACAAACGGACAGACAAAAAGACGGAUGUACGGAAAUUGCUACAUGCUAGACAAACAAAUAAGCGACACAGUCGAAAUAAUACUACAAGCAACAAUACAAUAUAACAGCAAUACAAUAUAACAUUCAUUCUCACCAGAAGCAAAGAUAAGAGACAAAAUUAAUAGAGCUCAAACACGUCUAUUACAAAGACAUAGCGCAGACAAAAAGGACAGAACCCUCCAAGUAAGCGAAAUUGUUUAUUAAAUUAAGCAAAAGAUUGGGUAACAAGCUUACGCCCUUAUAUAAAGUUACGGUAGAAGCUGACCUGGUAUCGACAGUCCUAAUUAAGGGGAGGGAAGUCCAUAAGGAUCUAAAAUAAACUAUCCUCUCAAGUACUCUUCCACUAGGUCUUGGAUUCCACUUGCAGAAUGGAAUUAUAAUUUCUGAAAUUGAAACAUUAAUGUUGUUCAUUACUCUUAUAAAGAUCCAAAUUACAAACCCAGCAAUCUUUGACUUUAAUGAACUAAGCUAAAUUUUAAAUGAGCACUCCACAGAUCUCACCAUAACAGACUAAUCAAAAUAGCUUACAUAAAAGACUUGUUAGAUCAUAAUUAAAUUAACCUAGCGUAAUAUGUAAGAAAAUAGCCAUGUAAUGAAACAAUACUUAACUUCGCUGGAAAUAACAACGUUGCUAGCAAAAAUAUUACAAAUUGGUCAUCCAUGGCACAUACUUGCUGACUUUUGAUGAGGACAUUCUAUGUAAAUGGGUCCCUGUACAAAAAUACAAAAACCCAUACUCAGGCGUCACCCAGGCUCGGUAGUAUCGGCUACCCUAAAUAUAUAUAUUAAUAUAUCACUAAGCCGCAAGACCAGUGAUUGAAAUGAAUUCUCAACAUAAGCUUCCCUGAAGUCCGCCAACCACUGGAGGAGACACAGGGGAAACAAUUAACUUGCAUAGGUUGCUAAUAGUGGAUCUAUAAAAUAAUGGUGAAUGAUUUGAAAAACCUUCCUCACGGAGUUCAACUGCUCUAUCAAAGGCAAUUAUGCAACGCAUGAAUAAAACCAUGUUGAAUAAAAAAUGAAAUUUGAGAACUUGGUUCCAGUUAAUUUAGCUUAUGUGGAUAUACACAAAGAAUUUCUCCCAGAUUCAUUUUUCUUUUGUUUCAGACUGUGAAGAAACCGAAUAAUGAGUUUGUGGCACCUUAGUGCGUUUCUGAGUAUAAUUCUGUCGUUUAGCCAUGUUACAGGAUUAACGCAUCCAACCAAUCCAAAUAUAAUCAUAAUACUUAUAGAUGAUUUGGGUUUCAAUGAUGUAAGUUUUCACGGCUCCAAUCAAAUCUUAACGCCAAAUAUUGAUGCAUUUGCUUAUAAUGGAGUAAUACUCAAUCGCUAUUAUGUACCCAAUUUAUGCACACCCUCGAGAGCUGCAUUGCUUACCGGAAAAUACCCAAUACAUACGGGCAUGCAACAUUUUGUGCAAAUACCAGACGAGCCCUGGGGCUUGCCACUAGGUCACCGUCUUAUGCCCCAGCUCUUUCGUGAUGCAGGAUACUCUACGCAACUGAUUGGCAAAUGGCAUUUGGGAUUUUGGCGCAAGGAUCAAACGCCUACAUUGCGCGGAUUCGACCACCACUAUGGAUAUUAUAAUGGUUACAUCGAUUAUUAUGAUCACACACAUUAUAUGAUGAGCAAGAACUAUACUGCAGGAGUUGACUUUCGUCAAGACUUAAAACGCGGUUACUUGGAAAACGGUACUUACGCAACGGAAGCUUUUACCGCAGAAGCUGUUCGUGUUAUAGAACAUCAUGAUACUGAGCGUCCGCUUUUCAUGAUUUUAAGUCAUUUAGCUGUGCACACUGGUAACGAAAAUAACCCAAUGCAAGCUCCACUCGAAGAAGUGAACAAAUUUCCACACAUAAUUAAUACGAAACGACGCACUUAUGCUGGCAUGGUUUCCAGUCUGGACAAGAGUGUGGGUCAGACAAUACGUGCUCUUUCAGUUAGGAGUAUGUUAAACAACUCCAUUGUACUGCUCUACUCAGACAAUGGUGCACCCACGUUGGGCAUUCACUCCAACGCGGGAUCGAACCAUCCUUUUCGCGGUGUAUGAAUAUAUAUAUAUAUUCCUAUAGAUUAAGUAACGUGAUCGUGUGCAGUCGAUCCCGUGGGAAACAAUGCUGGGGUGAUCCGACAGCAUACUUUGAACAGCAAGCAAGCAAGCUCUUUUCCACCGUUAUGCAGGGCCCUGCGACUCAGCAAAAAGUACUCGCUAAACGUCUCGUGGAAAAUAAUAAAACUGAAAGUGUACAUAAGAUAUAAGAUAUAACAGAAAAAGUGAUCAUUUGUUCAUCACUUUUGCACAUCCCGGACGUCUAUAAGGAAAUACCAAGAACUCAAAGAUCAAAGAUCCAAGAUCAACAGCUGGCACCAGCUAAGAAGAAGCCCUGAAAUCUUUUAAAGACGCAAACCCAAGCGUACCGCUGAAGAUUACAGUGCAUACCCUGUCGAAAAGUUGCUUAAUUAGAACAUAGGAUUACAAUUAUGAGGCAAACUCUUGCGUAUAGUACGAAAACCUCAGAUAAUAUACUUUUACAGCAUAGAAAAAUUGUACUGUUCAUAUAAGCUAAGCGUCAAGAAUAUAUAUCAGCUUUAGCAAAAUUUAUGAGCAUACUAAAGAUAAUAUUAAGUCAAAAAUUAAAUGAGCGUGGGUGAAUGAUAUAGCUUGUCGAGUAGAUAACAAUUAAUGAGGGUAGGAUUCUGUACUCUCUGGGUCGGCGAAAUUAGUCAUCAUGUAGGCCGUUUACCGGCCUAGGAAAAAUAGAUGUCUGCUGUAAUUGAAAACAUUUAAUGGAGUAUAUGUAGACGGCACCCCACAACCGGAAGCAAGAACACGUGGACUAAGCAGCUCGCCUCCCAAGUACUCGAAUGUCGCCAAACAAGUGCAAUAAUGGGUUUCGUUUUGAUGGAACAGAGAAGAUGCUAACAUUUAUGAGGAGCUGAUCCUUUCAAAACGGUCGGCAGAAGUGCUGCGAAGUACGAAGACAAUAUAUGCGACAUAAGAGCGAGUGGGAACCGAGGAGCAAGCCGUUUUAUAAAUUAUCCAAGAUAGCUGCAAGCAAAUGAAGAGCGGUUAUCAGCACCCAAAACACUUCAAAGUGUCCGCAAAGGAGCGCCACCUAUAAAAUUACGCCACUUAUAAAAUUACGCCCCUAUUAAGCAAAAAGAAUCUCCGUGGGAGGGUGGCCUACGAUCGGCAGGGGCUAUAUGGAGUCCACUAUUAAAAAAUCGUAAUUA